GCCCCACCCACCUAGAGGAGCCUGUUCUAUAAUCGAUAACCCCCGCUUAACCUCACCACUUCUUGCCAAUACCGCCUAUAUACCACCGUCGCCAGCCCACCCCGUGAGGGAAAUAGUAGGCACAAUGAUAAGUCACCAAAACGUCAGGUCAAGGUGUAGCGUAUGAAGUGGGAAGAAAUGGGCUACAUUCUCUAACCUAGAGCACACGAAAAAUCAUAUGAAAUUAGAUCAGAAGGAGGAUUUAGUAGUAAAAAGAAACGAUAGUGUUCUUUUUAAGUUGGCCCUGGGGCGCGCACACACCGCCCGUCACCCUCUUCAACUAAUAAAACACGAUUUAUAAAACAUAAAACAAACACAAGAAGAGGUAAGUCGUAACAUGGUAAGUAUACCGGAAGGUGUGCUUGGAAUUA
This 410-nucleotide ribosomal RNA is filed under the name Bombina orientalis. Its description in RNAcentral is "partial 12S ribosomal RNA". It matches the Rfam family "Bacterial small subunit ribosomal RNA", at positions 918 to 1533 of the family's 1533-position model. The record is from RNAcentral. Lineage: Eukaryota; Metazoa; Chordata; Amphibia; Anura; Bombinatoridae.